RNAcentral lists this non-coding RNA (188 nucleotides) under Deltaproteobacteria bacterium. Its description in RNAcentral is "6S RNA". It matches the Rfam family "6S / SsrS RNA". From Rfam's summary of the family: E. coli 6S RNA was the first non coding RNA to be sequenced, but its function was unknown until recently. It consists of 184 nucleotides that fold into an extended hairpin structure with a large single-stranded internal bulge. The 6S RNA specifically associates with RNA polymerase holoenzyme containing the sigma70 specificity factor. The record is from RNAcentral. Lineage: Bacteria; Pseudomonadati; Myxococcota; Myxococcia.
GUCCCUCUGUAGGUUCCGUGAGGAGGAGUAGUGAAUCCCUGACCAGGUCGAACAGGGGGUUUCAUCGCCCGUGGUGUGCAGGCCCAGCAAUCAUCACUGGGAAGCCUGAAGCGGGUGAAACAGACUCCCACCUACUGAACAAGUAGGGGUUCGACUCCAAAUAACCCCACGUUCCAAACGGUACGGAC